RNAcentral lists this ribosomal RNA (253 nucleotides) under uncultured bacterium. RNAcentral describes it as "partial 16S ribosomal RNA". It matches the Rfam family "Bacterial small subunit ribosomal RNA", at positions 524 to 776 of the family's 1533-position model. The record is from RNAcentral.
UACGGAGGGUGCGAGCGUUGUCCGGAAUCACUGGGCGUAAAGGGCGCGUAGGCGGCUCGUGGAGUCAACGGUGAAAGCUCGGCGCUCAACGCCGAGUCGGCCGUCGAUACUCCCGUGCUCGAGCACUGUAGAGGCAGGUGGAAUUCCGGGUGUAGCGGUGGAAUGCGUAGAGAUCCGGAAGAACACCGGUGGCGAAGGCGGCCUGCUGGGCAGUAGCUGACGCUGAGGCGCGACAGCGUGGGGAGCAAACAGG